This is a non-coding RNA of Pelobates cultripes (western spadefoot toad), 212 nucleotides long. NCBI's taxonomy places the organism in Eukaryota, Metazoa, Chordata, Amphibia, Anura, Pelobatidae. The record is from the annotation of a GenBank genome assembly.
AAUAUGUGUAUCUCUGUGUCUCUGCAUGUGUGUGUUAAUGUGUUUAUAUGUAUGUCAGGUUGUGUAUCCUUAAGUGUGUCAUUGUAUGUAUCUAUGUGUCUGUGUAUCUGCAUGUGUAUGUGUGUCAGUGUGUGUAACUCUGUGUAUCUGUGUGUCAGGAUAAGUAUCUGUGUGUGAGGAUUUGUGUCAGGGUAUGUAUCCUUAAGUGUGUA